RNAcentral lists this long non-coding RNA (1006 nucleotides) under Capsicum annuum. RNAcentral describes it as "long non-coding RNA (CANN_LNC015559)". Lineage: Eukaryota; Viridiplantae; Streptophyta; Magnoliopsida; Solanales; Solanaceae. The record is from RNAcentral.
UUGAGAUUCUGAUAUUUGUGCUUCACCAAUACUUUCGUCAACUGAUUUUGUGAUCUACACACGUUCAUACAAAUUAAAUAAAAUAAUAUUUAUGAAGAACUAAAAAACUAAUCAAUAUGUAUUCAACAUACCAGAGCGACACAAACAUCUUUUGCUUCAUGAACAUCUAUAUCAAUUUUUUUCUUUAAAAAAUUAAAUAAUAAAAAAUUAAAAUAAGUUUUUUUUUAUCAUUAUAACUAUACGUAACAAAAAAAAUCUCUACCUGAACAAUGUCAUUAUCCUCAUUGUACCCAUCAAGCUCAUUAUACACAUCAUUCAUACUGUUGCUUUGAUAUCCUGCCAUCUCUUCGGCAACCUAUUUUAAUAUUAUUUUUUAUAAUAAUAAAUUAAAAUUGUAUAUAUAAAAUUAGUUGAAUAUAAAUGUACGGAAUUUACUUAUCAAUGUGACAUCAGGAUUCUUAUUAAACUCAUGAACAAAUUUUAUAGUCGUUUGAUGGGGUGAUGUACUCUUAACAUUUUAUCCGUUGGUGGCUGAUCAGAUUCGCUGCCUUUUGCUUGUUUCUUCGCGUUUAAAACAUGAAAAUAUAAAUAAAAAAAUUAGUAAAUAACAACUUAGUUGUAAAAAAAUACAUAUGCUGUAAAUGUAUAUAUGUUGUACCUUAUUUUCAUUGAUUGCAUUCAUUAUUUGAUCAAACCUGGAAGACACUAGGCCACGAACAUCAUUAAACUCUUGUCAUACCUGAAUUAUAAAAAAAAAAUUAGAAAUGAAAAAAUAAAUUAAUCAAAAGCUUAAAGAAAAAUUACCUUUUCACAAAACUUAUCAAAGACUUUCUUCGAGACAACACCGUCUUCAUCUUCAGAACUGAACGAAGACGGAACAGGUGACUGAACCGAAAUAGAUUUUUUACUGUCAGGCCGAUUUGUGUCUUUCCUAUUUUCACGUAGCGUAACUUUGUUGGAAUUGGCUUGUGAAUUGGAGUCCUGACAAAAGGCAUCUUUGCAGCAC